UCUCUCUCUCUCUCUCUCUCUCUCUCUCUCUCUCUCUCAUAUAUAUAUAUAUAUAAGAGAGAGAGAGAGAGAGAGAGAGAGAGAGAGAGAGAGAGG
Molecule: microRNA precursor, 96 nt
Filed under: Prunus dulcis (almond)
Lineage: Eukaryota; Viridiplantae; Streptophyta; Magnoliopsida; Rosales; Rosaceae
Description: sRNA ncRNA
Rfam family: mir-4716 microRNA precursor family (bases 6-89)
Source: RNAcentral